This 134-nucleotide ribosomal RNA is filed under the name uncultured eukaryote. RNAcentral's name for it is "partial small subunit ribosomal RNA". It matches the Rfam family "Eukaryotic small subunit ribosomal RNA", at positions 1651 to 1780 of the family's 1831-position model. The record is from RNAcentral.
CCCUGCCCUUUGUACACACGGCUCGUCGCUCCUACCAAUUGAAUGAUCUGGUGAAGUGUUCAGAUUACGUCGACGAUGGUGGUUCGCUGUCGUCGACGUCGUGAGAAGUUCAUUGAACCUUAUCAUUUAGAGGA